AGUUGGCAGACGAGUCCCAAAUAGGACGAAAUGCGCGUUAUCUUGGGU
RNAcentral lists this non-coding RNA (48 nucleotides) under Trichobilharzia regenti. Lineage: Eukaryota; Metazoa; Platyhelminthes; Trematoda; Strigeidida; Schistosomatidae. The record is from RNAcentral.